ACGGAGGUGGCAGGCGUUACUCGGAUUGAUUGGGUGUAAAGGGUGUGUAGGUGGCGUACUAAGUCGAAUGUGAAAGCCCAUGGCUCAACCACGGAAUUGCAAUCGAAACUGGUAUGCUUGAGUACAUUAGAAGUAGAUGGAAUUCCCGGUGUAGCGGUGAAAUGUGUAGAUAUGACACAGAACACCGGUGGCGAAGGCAAUCCACUGAGAUGCUACUGACGCUGAGGCACGAGAGCGUGGGGAGCAAACAG
RNAcentral lists this ribosomal RNA (251 nucleotides) under uncultured prokaryote. Its description in RNAcentral is "partial 16S rRNA". It matches the Rfam family "Bacterial small subunit ribosomal RNA", at positions 525 to 775 of the family's 1533-position model. The record is from RNAcentral.